CUUUUAUACUACAUGAAAACAAAAGUUAGAAUAGUCGGUUCUCUCUAUUCUCUCUAUUGAAUCUUUCAAAGGAGACUCAUUAAGUUUGUUGCCGUCCGGAUCUUUUCCGGUUAUCAAAUCCCGUGUAACGGACUCUUUUCCAACAUGCACCAGAUUUUUAAGGUGUUUGGUUGGCUUUUAUCCUACAUCAAUUGACUUUUACAGUCGAGAUGAUCAAGUUGGCUGUCGGCGUUUCUUGCUGCUUUGCUCUCGGUUGUUCAUGACCGAAUAAAGUUUAUGUUGUGAUGGUCAACUAGGUGCCCAAGCCAUAGAUUCUCGAAAUCAAAUUUUGAUCCCUAGUUCUCAUGCUUCCUCAAAUCCUUCAGAUUUAGCUUCUCUUCCCUAGGCCUUCAACCGAUUUAUCCACCUCUCUCAUCUCUGAGAUGAGUGAUGUUGCGGUUAGACGGUUCCUUCAGUUUCCUCCAACAAGAUUUCACAGUCAAAUUUGGGUCAAGACCUGAAAAGUCUACUUCGGCUUAUCGGUCUUCCAUCAAAUGAAUCUCGAAUUUACCGGUGUCAACAUGUAUUUGAUGAUUCCAAAGCUUCAUCAUCGAAGCCUCAUCAAGUUGGGGUUGUAAGUAGAUGUUUUGAUUUCUUAAAUCUAGUAAUUAUCAAGAGAUGACGCGUAGUUCAGAGUUUUCCGGUGGUUGUAAUGAUCUCCGUCAUCACUAACAAAAUUCAGUUCAGAAAAGAAGUGGUGUUCACAGAUGGCAUCUCAAUUGGAGCAUUAGGAAUUAACUUUUAGAUUUUGUUUGUUUGAUUCUGGUUUGGUACCUUUAAUUGGCUUUUGUUUUUGUGUUUUAGAUCUGAGGAAUACUCGUUUCCGCCGGUUAAAUAUCUGUGGACUUACAUGUGUCUUCCGGCUUUGUAUCUUAAAUGUGUGUUUUUUUUCCUUCGUUUGAAAGUGUUUGAUUGUAAAAAAAGAAU
RNA transcript from Arabidopsis thaliana (thale cress), 966 nucleotides. RefSeq lists it as uncharacterized. The transcript has a single exon. Lineage: Eukaryota; Viridiplantae; Streptophyta; Magnoliopsida; Brassicales; Brassicaceae. The record is from RefSeq.